CGUACACUCCUGCGGGAGGCAGCAGUGGGGAAUAUUGCACAAUGGGCGCAAGCCUGAUGCAGCCAUGCCGCGUGUAUGAAGAAGGCCUUCGGGUUGUAAAGUACUUUCAGCGGGGAGGAAGGCGAUAAGGUUAAUAACCUUGUUGAUUGACGUUACCCGCAGAAGAAGCACCGGCUAACUCCGUGCCAGCAGCCGCGGUAAUACGGAGGGUGCAAGCGUUAAUCGGAAUUACUGGGCGUAAAGCGCACGCAGGCGGUCUGUCAAGUCGGAUGUGAAAUCCCCGGGCUCAACCUGGGAACUGCAUUCGAAACUGGCAGGCUAGAGUCUUGUAGAGGGGGGUAGAAUUCCAGGUGUAGCGGUGAAAUGCGUAGAGAUCUGGAGGAAUACCGGUGGCGAAGGCGGCCCCCUGGACAAAGACUGACGCUCAGGUGCGAAAGCGUGGGGAGCAAACAGGAUUAGAUACCCCUGUAGUCCC
This 475-nucleotide ribosomal RNA is filed under the name uncultured organism. RNAcentral's name for it is "partial 16S ribosomal RNA". It matches the Rfam family "Bacterial small subunit ribosomal RNA", at positions 330 to 797 of the family's 1533-position model. The record is from RNAcentral.